Molecule: ribosomal RNA, 253 nt
Filed under: uncultured bacterium
Lineage: Bacteria
Description: partial 16S ribosomal RNA
Rfam family: Bacterial small subunit ribosomal RNA
Source: RNAcentral
CACGUAGGGACCGAGCGUUGUCCGGAUUCAUUGGGCGUAAAGAGCUCGUAGGCGGUCGGGUAAGUCGGGUGUGAAAUCUCCGGGCUCAACUCGGAGGGGCCACCCGAUACUGCACGACUCGAGUCCGGUAGGGGAGUGGGGAAUUCCUGGUGUAGCGGUGAAAUGCGCAGAUAUCAGGAGGAACACCGGUGGCGAAGGCGCCACUCUGGGCCGGUACUGACGCUGAGGAGCGAAAGCGUGGGGAGCGAACAGG